This 97-nucleotide ribosomal RNA is filed under the name uncultured bacterium. RNAcentral's name for it is "partial 16S ribosomal RNA". It matches the Rfam family "Bacterial small subunit ribosomal RNA", at positions 1386 to 1482 of the family's 1533-position model. The record is from RNAcentral.
CACACCGCCCGUCACACCAUGGGAGUUGAUUGCACCAGGAGUAGGUAGCCUAACCGCAAGGAGGGCGCUUACCACGGUGUGGUCAAUGACUGGGGUG